GAUGAAGAACGCAGCGAAAUGCGAUACUUGGUGUGAAUUGCAGAAUCCCGCGAAUCAUCGAGUUUUUGAACGCAAGUUGCGCCCGAAGCCAUUCGGCCGAGGGCACGUCUGCCUGGGUGUCACGCAUCGUUGCCCCCCCAAACUCCGGUUCGGGCGGGGCGGAAGUUGGCCUCCCGUGCGUGCCUGCGCGCGCGGUUAGCCCAAAAGCGAGUCCUCGGUGACGAGCGCCACGACAAUCGGUGGUUUUUUUACCCUCGUUCCUCGUCGUGCGUGCCCCGUCGCCCGAACGCGCUCUUGCGACCCUUACGCGUCGCCUCGGCGGCGCUCCCAACGCGACCCCAGGUCAGGCGGGACUACCCGCUGAGUUUAAGCAUAUCAAUAAGCGGAGGA
This 390-nucleotide unclassified non-coding RNA is filed under the name soil metagenome. RNAcentral describes it as "partial contains 5.8S ribosomal RNA, internal transcribed spacer 2, and large subunit ribosomal RNA". The stretch from base 1 to 122 matches the Rfam family "5.8S ribosomal RNA", at positions 35 to 154 of the family's 154-position model. The record is from RNAcentral.